UCCCGGGUGGUGUAACGGUAGCACAACCGACUUUGACUCGGUUAGACAUGGUUCAAAUCCAUGCCCGGGAGCCA
This 74-nucleotide transfer RNA is filed under the name Elusimicrobia bacterium GWA2_64_40. RNAcentral describes it as "tRNA-Gln". It matches the Rfam family "tRNA". From Rfam's summary of the family: Transfer RNA (tRNA) molecules are approximately 80 nucleotides in length. Their secondary structure includes four short double-helical elements and three loops (D, anti-codon, and T loops). Further hydrogen bonds mediate the characteristic L-shaped molecular structure. tRNAs have two regions of fundamental functional importance: the anti-codon, which is responsible for specific mRNA codon recognition, and the 3' end, to which the tRNAs corresponding amino acid is attached (by aminoacyl-tRNA synthetases). tRNAs cope with the degeneracy of the genetic code in two manners: having more than one tRNA (with a specific anti-codon) for a particular amino acid; and 'wobble' base-pairing, i.e. permitting non-standard base-pairing at the 3rd anti-codon position. Lineage: Bacteria; Pseudomonadati; Elusimicrobiota. RNAcentral also lists the same sequence under 3 other names. The record is from RNAcentral.